AAAUUGUUGGAACAUAGAAAGUAAUGUUUAGGACACAAGGUAAAGUCUAUUGGUUAAAUUUUAUAGCUAUACAAUAAGCAGAACAUAUAUUGUGCAAGUGCAGUUGGUCAUGAUCAAGAUGGAAGAAGCUAGAAACGUAAUAUAUAUAUGAUGAUUGAAUUUUGAAAAAUUGUACCAUUUCAUCGAUAUAUUUAACCCAAAAUCGGGCUUGAGCUCUAUCAUAAGGAUCAGCUGGAAGCAAUGAGUUUUGUGGCCAUAUCUCAUCAAUGUAUUCAACAAUGAUCAUUGACUCACAUAUGGGUUUUCCAUCAUGAACUAGCACCGGAGUCUUCUUGUGUACUGGGUUAUAUUGAAGAAGUUCAGCAGGAAGCAAUGAGUUCUGUGGCCAUAUUUCAUCGAUGUAUUCAAUAAUGAUCAUGGACUCACAUAUGGGUUUUCCAUCAUGAACUAGUACCGGAAUCGUCUUGUGUACUGGGUUAUAUUGAAGAAGUUGGGGACUCUUAUUGAAGCGAUCUUCCUCUAUGUUUUCAUAUGGUAUACCCUUUAGAUUUAGGGUCCAUACUACCCUUAAAGUAAAAGGACUAUACCAAAAUCCAUGUAGUUUCACCUCUGCCAUCCUAGCUUGUGAUUUCUUAAGCUAACACUAGUCAUUUUAUCUAAGGUGAUCUAUUGAGUCAUUUAGCUUGUUCAACUAGUCAAAUUCAAAAAGAAUAUGUAUUGCUAAUUGUUAGCAUCAUGUGUGACUAACUUUAGUAUGAAAAGUAUUUAAAACUAAGAAAAUAGGACGUUGUCGGCAACAACGGAUCUUGGAUAGUGUGGAGGGGUCAAUUGUUUAACAAAUAUCUAAAGAAUUAUAUAAAAGUGUAUUAUAUUAGUAAUUGUAUAACAAUUUUUCAUAUAAUUAUUUUAAAUUUUAUUUUUUUCUUAAUUUAUUUUUUUCUUUUUUAGACUCCAACCAUGAUUCUCAACAUAUACAAAAAUACUUUUUAUGACGUGGAUUUAAUAUGCCUACUUAUUAAAAAGAAGAUAACUUGAAAGUAUCUGGCUCCUAUAGACUCCAAAGAAGAUCUGCCCUUAGUUGUGAUGUCAAUUAAUUUUACAUUGAAAAAAAUAUCUCAUUAUAUAUUAAUAUAAAAUUACAUGUCCAUCCAUUCAACUCUAAAACUAUCUACUUGCCAUUAUAUUAUAUUAAAUGAAAUGAAAAUUAUUUAACAAUAUUUUUUUCUUUAUUUUGUUGGUUAAUUUCUUCUCCACAAAUAUAUAUAACCGUAUAAGAAGCCUAUUCUUCGUCUACCUUUUUUGGGGGCAUGUUCAUUCAAAUAAAUGUUAUCUUUUUCUGCCCCACUAGCGGUGUCGUAAGUGCUUGCAUCACUAAGAAAUGAUCUACAAUUAUAGGUACGUAUUAACACUCUUGUUACUCUUUUAUUUUUGUCAAAUGAUAAUUCAUUAAAAGGCAAAAUGGACCUCACAACUCAGCUGUAUUGAGUCCAAUUACAAGUAGAGUUAACCAACUAACAAACACUAAAAGAUUAAAGAAUAAACAUAAAUCUCUACCAAGUCUCCCUCUUCAUUCUCUUCACCUCUCUAUCUCUCUCACAAUUUAUUUUUUAAAAACGAAUAUUUAAGGGAGAGAUUAAGAAAGAGAAUAAUUGAUGAGAGAGAUUAAGAGUGCAAAGGAAGAGUUGGAGAGAUAAUCUAUUUUCGAUCAUGAUUACAUGUUGUCAGACGCAAAAUUCACAAUAAAAGAUUAAACAAUGAGCAUAAAGUGGCAUUGGGAGCGCUCACUAGUGUUUGUGGUCUUACUUGUAAAAAAGACUAAGUAAAACAAACAAAAUAACAUAUCAUGAAUUGGAUCCUCUCCACCUCUCUAUCUUUCUAAUAAUUUAUUUUAAAAAAUAUUAAAGAGAGAAAAAAGUAAGAAAGAGAAGAAAAAUUGACGAGAGAUAGAGAGUGUAGAUGAAGAGUUGGGGGAGAUGAUCUAUUUACGAUCACAACAUGUUGCUAGACACAAAACACACGUUAGAAGAUUAAACAAUGAACAUAAGUGAUAUUGGGAGCACUCACUAGUACUUGUGGUAUGGCUUGUAAAAAAUGACUAAACAAAACAAACAAAAGAGCAUAUCAUGACUUGGAUCCUCUCCACAAAGACCGACUCUCCAACUUUGUAUCUCAUAAUUUAUUUUUUAAAAAAUAUCGAAGAUAGAAAAAAAAAAGUAAGAAAAAAAAUAAUUGAUGAGAAAGAAAGAGAGGUAGAGAGAGUGCAGAGGAAGAGUUGGGGAAGAUAUCUAUUUUCGAUCAUGAUCACAUGAUAAAAAAUACACACUAAAAGAUUAAACAAUGAGUAUAAAGUGACAUUAUAAGCACUAACUAGUAGGGAUGAGAAUAAGCUAGGCCGUCCGUCAGGGCCUAUGGCCUGGCCUGGCCUGACCUACUUAUUGUCUGGCCUGGCCUGACCUAUUUAAUAAAAAGGCUAGGCUCAUGCCAUUUUUAAAGCCUAUUUAUUUAAAUAGGCCAGACUCGGCUUAUAAAAAAGCUUAUUAGGCCUGAAAGGCCGACCUAUAUAUAUUUUAUUAUUUAUUAAUAUUAUAUUAAUAAUAUUAUUUCCUAUUUUAAAUUUUAUCAAUUAAGCAAUUAUUCGGUAAACAUUCCAUAUUCAGUAGUUGUUCCAUAUUCGGUAGAAUUCCAUAUUUGGUAGUCAUUUCAUAUUUGGUAGUUGUUCAAUUAGUCAAUCACUCAACAAUAUUCCAUAUUUGUUUAAGAGGUAAUAAUGAAUGUGUUUGUUUCAAAAAAAAAUCUAUUAUUUGACACAAAAAAUUAUUUUUUAGGGUUUAAAGGAUGUUUGUUUCAUAUUUUUUAAAAAUUAUUUUAAAUAGGCUUUAAAAUAGGCUUCCAAGCCUGGCCAUACUUUUAAAAAUGUCAGGCCAGACCGAAAAAAAGCUUAUGAUAGGCCGUGGGCCAGACUUAGGCCUUUUAGGGUUUAAAGGAUGUUUGUUUCAUAUUUUUUAAAAAUUACUUUAAAUAGACUUCCAGGCCAGGCCAAACUUUUAAAAAGGUCAGGCCAGACCAGACUUUUAAAAAGGCCAGGCCAGGCCGAAAAAAAAGCCUAUGAUAGGUCGUAGGCCAAACUUAGGCCUAAAAAAUAAAUCGUAGGCCAGACUUAGGCCUUUCAAAGUCUGGUCUGACCUGACCUAUUCCCACCUUUACUAACUAGUACUUGUGGUCUCACUCAUAAAAAUGAUUAAAUAAAGAAAAGAAAAAAACAAAUCAUGAUUGAAUUAUCUCCACCAAGUCUUCUUUUCCACUUUCUCAACCUCUCUAUCUCUCUCCUAAUUUAUCUUAAAAAAAUAUUGAAAAGAGACUAAAAGUAAGAAUAAUUAAUGAGAGAGAUAGAGAGGUAGAGAGAAUGUAGAAAGAGAAUUGGAGAAAAUGAUUCAUUUUUUAUCAUGAUCAAAUGUUAUCAAACACAAAAUACACACUAAAAGAUUAAACAAUGAGUCUGACAUCAUUAGUUACAAAAUGAAAGGAGUUACGUAUAUAUUAAUAAUAUUAAAUGAAAAAUGAUUAGUAAAUAAAUUUUUUCUAUUAACAAAAAAAGGUAUAUCUAAAUUAUAUAUAUAUAUAUAUUAUACUUUUAAAAUUGUGAAGUAAUCUAGGUUACUAAAUACAUCUAUUUUGAUGGAAAAAUAAAACUACAAGGUAGUAAUCAACUAAACUAUAAAUUUAUAAGCCGUGUGGUACAUACUCUUAAUAUUAAAAGAAAUGAAAUUAUUUAAAACUUUUAUUAGUGAAGUACAAAAACAUAAAGCAACUACUAUAGCAUAAAGAAAUACACAUGACUCAUGAAGAUACAAAUGCUUAUAUAUUACUCAAGAAGAUGCCAAGAUUUUUUCAAAAAGAGGCUUCAAAAAAGCCACGAACUUCUCUUGGUGAGGGGUAUUUUCUUUGAUGACUUGAACAUCCUUGAAAUUAUUAAACCAUAAAUGCAAAUGGGGGAACCUCUCAGUUUGCAAAAUUUCCACUUUAAAUGUAAUUUCCAAAACCUCAAUAAAUUUGACAAAAGAUCCGAGAGCUAUGUCUACAAUGUUAAUGUUGUCUCCUCCAUAAAAUUUAUUUUCAUCUUUCAAACAUUGAUCCUCAACAACUCCUAGCCGUUCCCAUAGAUUCUCUUUGGCCUUCUCUCGGUCUUCACUACUUUUGCUACGAAUGAUUGCUGAAAGUGUCGAAAUCUAUAAGUUUGAAUCAAGAUGAGAUUGUUAGAACAUAGAAAGUAAUGUUUAAGAUACAUGGUAAACUCUAUUAGUUAUAGCAAUAAGCAGAACAUGACUUGAAAAGUAAGUAAACACGCACACACAUACAUAAUAAUUAAAUUUUAAAAAAUUGUACCAUUUCAUCGAUAUAUUUAACCCAAAAUCGGGCUUGAGCUCUAUCAUAAGGAUCAGCUGGAAGCAAUGAGUUUUGUGGCCAUAUCUCAUCAAUGUAUUCAACAAUGAUCAUUGACUCACAUAUGGGUUUUCCAUCAUGAACUAGCACCGGAGUCUUCUUGUGUACUGGGUUAUAUUGAAGAAGUUGUGGACUCUUAUUGAAGCGAUCUUCCUCUAUGUUUUCAUAUGGUAUAUCCUUUAAAUUUAAGGUCCAUACUACCCUUAAAGUAAAAGGACUAUACCAAAAUCCAUGUAGUUUCACCUCUGCCAUCCUAG
Molecule: long non-coding RNA, 4697 nt
Filed under: Cicer arietinum (chickpea)
Lineage: Eukaryota; Viridiplantae; Streptophyta; Magnoliopsida; Fabales; Fabaceae
Description: long non-coding RNA (CARI_LNC000993)
Source: RNAcentral